RNAcentral lists this ribosomal RNA (402 nucleotides) under uncultured bacterium. RNAcentral describes it as "bacterial SSU rRNA". It matches the Rfam family "Bacterial small subunit ribosomal RNA", at positions 362 to 758 of the family's 1533-position model. The record is from RNAcentral.
UAUUGGACAAUGGGCGCAAGCCUGAUCCAGCAAUACCGCGUGUGUGAAGAAGGCCUUAGGGUUGUAAAGCACUUUCAAUUGGGAGGAAAACCUGCCGGUCAAUACCCGGUAGCUUGACAUUACCUUUAGAAGAAGCACCGGCUAACUCCGUGCCAGCAGCCGCGGUAAUACGGAGGGUGCGAGCGUUAAUCGGAAUUACUGGGCGUAAAGCGUGCGUAGGCGGUUCGUUAAGUCAGAUGUGAAAGCCCUGGGCUCAACCUGGGAACUGCAUUUGAAACUGGCGGACUAGAGUUUAGUAGAGGGGAGUGGAAUUUCAGGUGUAGCGGUGAAAUGCGUAGAUAUUUGAAGGAACACCAGUGGGGAAGGCGACUCCCUGGACUAGAACUGACGCUGAGUACGAGG